Molecule: ribosomal RNA, 462 nt
Filed under: uncultured bacterium
Lineage: Bacteria
Description: bacterial SSU rRNA
Rfam family: Bacterial small subunit ribosomal RNA
Source: RNAcentral
GAUGAACGCUAGCGGCAGGCUUAACACAUGCAAGUCGAGGGGUAUAGGGAGCUUGCUUCCUAGAGACCGGCGCACGGGUGCGUAACGCGUAUGCAAUCUACCUUUUGCAGAGGAUAGCCCAGAGAAAUUUGGAUUAAUACCUCAUAGUAUGUGAGGAUGGCAUCAUUUUCACAUUAAAGUCACAACGGCAAAGAUGAGCAUGCGUCCCAUUAGCUAGUUGGUAAGGUAACGGCUUACCAAGGCUACGAUGGGUAGGGUCCUGAGAGGGAGAUCCCCCCACACUGGUACUGAGACACGGACCAGACUCCUACGGGAGGCAGCAGUGAGGAAUAUUGGACAAUGGGCGCAAGCCUGAUCCAGCCAUGCCGCGUGCAGGAUGACGGUCCUAUGGAUUGUAAACUGCUUUUGUACAGGAAGAAACACUACUUCGUGAAGUAGCUUGACGGUACUGUAAGAAUAAGG